GAUCCUCCAAUCCCAAAGGGUAAAAAACCUGUUUAGCUUCAUAUGUUGUGGAUGGUAAUUCAUUAUUCUCGGAAAGCAUGUUCUUGAAAAUUUUUAAUAUUCCCUGAAAUGUCUUAUCGGACACACCAUUUUUUGCCUUCCAUUGCAGCAUUUCCGGUGUGGUACCUAGUUUUUUUAUGUUCCUGCUUGCAAUCUGGGUACAAAAAUUUUUUUUGAUCAUCUACCAUACGUUGCAACUUUUCUAAUUUGUUCUUAGUUUUGCAGUCUUUAUGAACCCGUAGCACUUGAUCAAGAUCAUCAAUAGGGUCAUUUUCUGCAAACUCUUCUUCAUUAGCCUCGUCCAUUGUAGUAUCUGCAAAAGCAUGGCCUGCAGCCCAUUCCGGAAUGUUGUUAUCAUCAUCCUCUUCUUCGCCGUCUUCCA
This 421-nucleotide long non-coding RNA is filed under the name Setaria viridis. RNAcentral's name for it is "long non-coding RNA (SVIR_LNC009566)". Lineage: Eukaryota; Viridiplantae; Streptophyta; Magnoliopsida; Poales; Poaceae. The record is from RNAcentral.